CUACAUCAGUGUGAUGUAUAUGUGAAACUUAACAUGGCCAACAGGAGAACAAGAGAUGGAUACAUACAGUAACGGAGGACCUUUGAGAUUACAGUGGGCCCACUCAGAAAAUACAGCUCCUCUCCUCAUAUCAAUAUUCUUGACUUAAUCACGUGUGCAAGUCCCUUUUACAAUAGGUUCAGGGAAGUUGAGUAACUUGUCCACAACAGAGCCAAAGGCCAGAAGUCUUACGAAUCCCGUUCUCUUAUCUCCUUUGUGGUAUCUUCUCACAUGAAGAAUGUUCAAAAUUAGUAUAACUCCACUGGAAAAUCAUAUAAUAAAAU
Molecule: long non-coding RNA, 323 nt
Filed under: Equus caballus (horse)
Lineage: Eukaryota; Metazoa; Chordata; Mammalia; Perissodactyla; Equidae
Description: lncRNA (ENSECAG00000047342.1)
Source: RNAcentral